AAUAUACAGUAACAGACAUGUGGACUGUAGAAUAUACAGUAACAGACAUGUGGACUGUAGAAUAUACAGAAACAGUCAUGUGGACUGUAGAAUAUACAGUAACAGACAUGUGGACUGUAGAAUAUCCACUUUUUUAAACUUCUUAGGGCUAGGCCCCUUUUUUCUCCACUUCCUGUCUGAAUGACAUUCCCAAAGUAAACUGCCUGUAGCUCAGGCCCAGAAGCCAGGAUAUGCAUAUAAUUGGUACCAUUAGAAAGUAAACACUUUGACAUUUGUAGAAAUAUUAAAAUAAGGUAGGAGAAUAUAACAUAUGGUAGGAGAAAAUCCAAAUCCUUUGAGAGACCUCUUAGAAUUGCAAUAGAAAGGUCAUAUUGAAAAUGAGCUCCCUGGAUGCAAUGUCUAUGGCUUCCACGGGGUGUCAGCAGUCUGUGUUCAAGGUUUCAGGCUCGUAACUUCAAAAACGAAGAAGAAAUAUCAGUUUUAGUAGAAGGACACAGUCUUGGAAAUUCAUGUUUGCUCGCGCCGUGAAGACGUUACGCACCUGUUAAAAUCGGUUUCCUAUUGAACAUACUUCUUUCCGUAAUAAAUAUUAUAAUUUGAUGACAUUUUAGUGUAUCUGAGGAGUAAAUAGAAAUGUAUUUUGACUUGUUGAAACAAAGUUUAGGGGUUAGAUUUUCAGAUUCCUUUCUCUGCAAGUUAAACGAGUGGAUGACUCAUCGAUGGCGCCAACUAAACAGACUUUUUGGGAUUUAAAGAUGGAUUUUAUCAAACAAAACGGCACUACAUGUUAUAGCUGGGACCCUUUGGAUGACAAAUCAGAGGAAGAUUUUCAAAAAGUAAGUUAAUAUUUUAUCGUUGUAUGUGAAUGUAUUAAACCUGUGCCGGUGGAAAAAUAUUUUGAUGUGGGGCGCCAUCCUCAAACAAUCGCAUGGUAUGUUUUCACUGUAAUAGCUACUGUAAAUCAGACAGUGCAGUUAGAUUAACAAGAAUUUAAGCUUUCAGCCGAUGUAAGACACUUGUAUGUACAUAAAUGUUUAAAAUCCAUAAUAUUUCUUUGAAUUGCACGCUCUCCAGUUUCACCCGAAGUUGUCCUGCUAGUGGGACACCAAUCCUUAUUAACUAAACUCAGACAUGUUGAAUAUUACUGACUAAGCAGGAAGCUUGGAAUGGCUGUGAACGAAGAGGUUGUGAGUUCAAAUCCCAGUUGAGGACAUGUUGAAUAUUACUGACUAAGCAGGAAGAUUGGAAUGGCUGUGAACCAAGAGGUUGUGAGUUCAAAUCCCAGUUGAGGACAUGUUGAAUAUUAAUGACUAAGCAGGAAGAUUGGAAUGGCUGUGAACCAAGAGGUUGUGAGUUCAUAUCCCAGUUGAGGACAUGUUGAAUAUUAAUGACUAAGCAGGAAGAUUGGAAUGGCUGUGAACCAAGAGCUUGUGAGUUCAAAUCCCAGUUGAGGACAUGUUGAAUAUUAAUGACUAAGCAGGAAGAUUGGAAUGGCUGUGAACCAAGAGGUUGUGAGUUCAAAUCCCAGUUGAGGACAUGUUGAAUAUUAAUGACUGUAUGCAGAAACAUACACAAUGUAGCCAUGUGGCAAAAUGCAUCACGUGUUUAAGUUGAAAACACUGUGUGUUCAUCAUUACAACUCACCUUUGUUUUUGCAGGGCUUGUGAAUCUCUCCUAGAAAAAAAUGUAAUCCACAUGUGAAAGGUUUUUGUGAAAAUCCACAUGAAACUAAUAUCAUCCUGUGAAGUAUUUCCCAAAAACGUGUGAUUUUCCUGUAAGGAUGUUCGUUGAAGCUGCUACACUCUACAGAAACAGGAGCUCCUGCCCUGUGAGCCGUUCUUCCUCGGACAAGGCUACUUAUGUACAGUCGCAGGUAAAGUGAGACGUAAUACACACAUGGCACCGACCCAGAGUCGGCUAAGAAACAGCUGAAAAUGUACAGCACACAGACAGGUCAUUCCAGGUAAGAGUCAGUAAAGGAACUGAGAACCAGGGAAGUAUCCCAAAUAGCACCCUGUUCCCUAUAAGGUGCACUACUCUGGGCCCUGGUCAAAAGUAAUGCCCUACUUAGGAAACCGGGUGCCAUUUGGUACGCAGAUUAGGGAGAAAGUUCACUAGUUCCUGCAGUGAAAUGAACAAAUCGCCCUCUAGUGGCGUCAUGGGUGAAAUGUUAUCAAUAUUUUUCAUAAUUGCAUAAUUAAUAAACAUUUUAAACAUUUAAAAAAAUUACACCGAUGAAUCCGAUGUUUCUAUGUCAAACGGUUUUGUUAUAGUUCAGUCUUCUGUGAUGUACCUAAAGUGUAAUACUGGAAUGCAAACUCAACAUUGAAUACAUUUUCAACUCUGUAUCUGACAUAACUUCUUCUAUAAGCCCAUAACCACGUGUGUGAGGUGCAUUCUUUUGUUUCAAAGUAGAUUUCUUUUUUAAGACUACCCAGAAACACUGAUCUAGAAGGUUAAAAGGAACACACCAUUGAGUAGAAUAUGUACAAACAAACAAAAGAGAGAGGUUUGUUGACGAAAAGUUCAUAUGUAAACACACCAUUCAUCCUCCUCGUCCCCAACAGGUGGGCGCUACACAUUUGUCUGUGUACCAUUUGUGUCAUUGGUACUGUACUGUGGAAGAGGUGAGUUUGCUCCAGUUGAAAGGAGCUUUUGAGAACGAAUAGGUUAUUGUACUCAAAGGGCACUUUCAUUUGCGGUAGUAAUAACCCUAUCCAUUAGUCUCAAAACAGCCCUCUUCAGAACAGCCCUGGUCCUAACGUUCAUAUGCAGCGGUCUAGUUCUCUCUCACCGGUAGCAAAUGAGCCAUAUCAGACAUGCUGGGCAGAUAGGUCAUUAGGGGCCGACGUUUUUUUCUCCCUCUCUCUCAUUCAUACUCUCCCUCCUCCUUUCUCACUCCCUCCUUCCCAUGACGAGGGGUCCCCCAC
Oncorhynchus tshawytscha (Chinook salmon) is the source of this 2930-nucleotide long non-coding RNA. NCBI's taxonomy places the organism in Eukaryota, Metazoa, Chordata, Actinopteri, Salmoniformes, Salmonidae. The record is from Ensembl.